ACAGGCUUAACACAUGCAAGUCGAGGGGCAGCGGGGUAGUAAGCUUGCUUACUACUGCCGGCGACCGGCGCACGGGUGAGUAACACGUAUGCAACCUGGCCGUCACAGAGGGAUAACCGGGAGAAAUCCCGCCUAAUACCGCAUAAUACCGGGGAAGGACAUCCUUUUCCGGUCAAAGGAGCGAUCCGGUGACGGAUGGGCAUGCGCCGCAUUAGUUAGUUGGCGGUGUAACGGACCACCAAGACGACGAUGCGUAGGGGUUCUGAGAGGAAGGUCCCCCACACUGGUACUGAGACACGGACCAGACUCCUACGGGAGGCAGCAGUGAGGAAUAUUGGUCAAUGGGCGAGAGCCUGAACCAGCCAAGUCGCGUGAGGGAAGACGGUCCUAUGGAUUGUAAACCUCUUUUGCCGGGGAGCAAAAAGCGGUACGUGUACCGCAUCGAGAGUACCCGGAGAAAAAGCAUCGGCUAACUCCGUGCCAGCAGCCGCGGUAAUACGGAGGAUGCGAGCGUUAUCCGGAUUUAUUGGGUUUAAAGGGUGCGCAGGCGGCGAGUUAAGUCAGCGGUAAAAUUUCGGGGCUCAACCCCGACGAGCCGUUGAAACUGGCUUGCUAGAGUGGGCGAGAAGUAUGCGGAAUGCGUGGUGUAGCGGUGAAAUGCAUAGAUAUCACGCAGAACUCCGAUUGCGAAGGCAGCAUACCGGCGCCCAACUGACGCUCAGGCACGAAAGCGUGGGUAUCGAACAGGAUUAGAUACCCUGGUAGUCCACGCAGUAAACGA
This 781-nucleotide ribosomal RNA is filed under the name uncultured bacterium. RNAcentral describes it as "bacterial SSU rRNA". It matches the Rfam family "Bacterial small subunit ribosomal RNA", at positions 42 to 809 of the family's 1533-position model. The record is from RNAcentral.